GUUUUUCCUAAACCAAAGAUCUCUAAAGGGAAACUCUGUGAAGGUUUGUAGUUUUACAGCACAGAGAGACGCUGUGUUUAAUCGUCUGCAGUCAGUAAAGAGUCGUGAAGUGAGCUGUGAUUAUUCACUGAUCUCUGACCCGACUGCUCGCUCUCUAAUGAGUGAUAAAUACAACAUGAUGCAUGUCUUUACAACAACAAUAACAACAACGACUCAGACAUCCACUCCUGAAGAGAAACCCAGUGCAGGAACAACAGCAACAACAACAACAGCAACAACAACAAUAACAACAACAACAAUAAAGAGUGAUAAAUACAACAUGACACGUUUCUUUCCUACACCAACACAGCCGUCCAUCACUACUGAGAAAUCCACUGCAU
Long non-coding RNA from Ictalurus punctatus (channel catfish), 380 nucleotides. The record is from Ensembl. Lineage: Eukaryota; Metazoa; Chordata; Actinopteri; Siluriformes; Ictaluridae.